This 492-nucleotide ribosomal RNA is filed under the name uncultured bacterium. RNAcentral describes it as "partial 16S ribosomal RNA". It matches the Rfam family "Bacterial small subunit ribosomal RNA", at positions 29 to 507 of the family's 1533-position model. The record is from RNAcentral.
AGUGAACGCUGGCGGUAGGCCUAACACAUGCAAGUCGAACGGCAGCACAUUAAGAGCUUGCUCUUACGGGUGGCGAGUGGCGGACGGGGGAGGAAUACAUCGGAAUCUACUUUUUCGUGGGGGAUAACGUAGGGAAACUUACUCUAAUACCUCAUACGACCUACGGGUGAAAGCAGGGGAUCUUCGGACCUUGCGCGAUUGAAUGAGCCGAUGUCGGAUUAGCUAGUUGGCGGGGUAAAGGCCCACCAAGGCGACGAUCCGUAGCUGGUCUGAGAGGAUGAUCAGCCACACUGGAACUGAGACACGGUCCAGACUCCUACGGGAGGCAGCAGUGGGGAAUAUUGGACAAUGGGCGCAAGCCUGAUCCAGCCAUACCGCGUGGGUGAAGAAGGCCUUCGGGUUGUAAAGCCCUUUUGUUGGGAAAGAGAAGCAGCAGGUUAAUACCCCGCUGUUCUGACGGUACCCAAAGAAUAAGCACCGGCUAACUUCGUG